RNAcentral lists this ribosomal RNA (378 nucleotides) under uncultured eukaryote. Its description in RNAcentral is "partial 18S ribosomal RNA". It matches the Rfam family "Eukaryotic small subunit ribosomal RNA", at positions 592 to 976 of the family's 1831-position model. The record is from RNAcentral.
CAAUAGCGUAUAUUAAAGUUGUUGCAGUUAAAAAGCUCGUAGUUGGAUUUCUGUUCUUGGGAUCUGGUCCGCCUCACGGUGAGCACUGGAUAACUGGGGACAUCCUCUCGAAGGCGGCAGGUGCACUUGAUUGUGUGUUUGUUGAAUUCGGGACCUUUACUUUGAAAAAAUUAGAGUGUUCAAAGCAGGCGUCGGCUUGAAUACAUUAGCAUGGAAUAAUGGAAUAGGACUUUGGUUCUAUUUUGUUGGUUUCUAGGACCGAAGUAAUGAUUAAUAGGGACAGUUGGGGGCAUUAGUAUUUAAUUGUCAGAGGUGAAAUUCUCGGAUUUAUGAAAGACUAACUACUGCGAAAGCAUUUGCCAAGGAUGUUUUCAUUAA